AGAGUUUGAUCCUGGCUCAGAAUGAACGCUGGCGGCAGGCCUAAAACAUGCAAGUCGAACGCUGUAGCAAUACAGAGUGGCGCACGGGUGAGUAACAUGUGGGAAUAUGCCUUUUGGUACGGAACAACUUUUGGAAACGAAAGCUAAUACCGUAUGGUCCCUCCGGGGUAAAGAUUUAUCGCCAAAAGAUUAGCCCGCACUAGAUUAGCUAGUUGGUGAGGUAAGAGCUCACCAAGGCGACGAUCUAUAGCUGGUCUGAGAGGACGAUCAGCCACACUGGGACUGAGACACGGCCCAGACUCCUACGGGAGGCAGCAGUUAGGAAUAUUGGACAAUGGGCGCAAGCCUGAUCCAGCCAUGCCGCGUGAGUGAUGAAGGCCUUCGGGUUGUAAAGCUCUUUAGCCGAUGAUUAUAAUGACUGUAGUCGGAAAAUAAGCCCCGGCUAACUUCGUG
This 453-nucleotide ribosomal RNA is filed under the name uncultured Alphaproteobacteria bacterium. RNAcentral describes it as "bacterial SSU rRNA". It matches the Rfam family "Bacterial small subunit ribosomal RNA", at positions 8 to 507 of the family's 1533-position model. The record is from RNAcentral. Lineage: Bacteria; Pseudomonadati; Pseudomonadota; Alphaproteobacteria.